RNAcentral lists this long non-coding RNA (870 nucleotides) under Homo sapiens (human). RNAcentral describes it as "non-protein coding lnc-RTL1-18:1". Lineage: Eukaryota; Metazoa; Chordata; Mammalia; Primates; Hominidae. The record is from RNAcentral.
AUGUUCAGAACCGUUUCUGAGCAUGUCCACAAGCCAGUAUGCAGAUGAUGAUCUGAUGGUGAAGAGACGACCUCAACGGGGUUCAUGAAAACUAGUUCCCAUGUACUGCUUGAAACAGCUGUCAUCCGCAAAGCACUUUACCCAGCAUGGACGCUCCACCUCUUGCCACAGCAGCACAGACAGCUAAUGGCAUACCUGCUUCUAGAAGACCCUUCUACCUGGAGGAUCUUCCUGUGGCAUCUACCUCCCUCAUGAAGCAGAAGUCAUCUGGCACCUGUGUGCAGUCAUCUUAUCGCUCUGCAUUUGUGUAGGUUGGAACAGUUUCAUUCAGCGUGGACUUUAUCAAGACUGUGCAUUUAGGCCUACAGUUCAUAUCCCUGAUAACUAUCUGGGUGGUGCCUGUCCACACUUGGUAUUUGACGUUCCUCCCUUUCACACCCUCAUUAAUUCCAUCUCUGUGAACUGGAUGUGCAGAGAGAUUUGCAAAGUAGAGGCGGAACCAUAAUUGCACUUGGGAAGUACCCAUCAGUACAAAGAAACAUUUCUUCAAGAUUGAUACAGCAAACCCCCUAAACCCAGAGGCUACAGUAGUGUGUGUGUACAGUAGUGCGUGUGUGUGUGUGUGUCCUUUUAAAAAUAACGUGGUUGAUGGUUUUAAGAUGUGUCCCGCUUGUUUAUUUGAGCAACCUAAAAUAGCAGACCCACAUUCCAUUAGCUUUUCUCCAUGGUAUCCAUCUGCACAUCAUGAAACCAGAGGGAAGAAGCUGGAUGAGCUGCACAAUAAUUGUGUUCCUGCGAUGUGUAAAGCCUGACUCAAUGCCAUCUUUCAGCAAGGAAGAAAAAACAGCAGCAACCUAGGAGAUGCCGAAU